CCUGCGGAAGGAUCAUUGUCGAAACCCCGACCGAAACGAGCUGACUUGCGCACGUGUCAACCAAAUAGAGGGGAUGGGGCGUGUCGUGCGAGGGGUCCCUCCUCGUCGCCUCCCCGCCCCCCCCUCGAAUGUCGUCCUGGCGUGGUCGCGAGGCGGCUCCUUCGCUUUAUGCGGGAUGCUUGUCGAGCGGCGACGAUAGGUCGGCAGCACAACAAAACCCCGGCGCAAGUCGCGCCAAGGAAAAUGGAUAUACAACCUGCGCGCUCCCCGUCGGCUUAGGCGACGGGGGCCGGCGUUGUGUCGUUUAAUGCAUAUAAUAGAUGACUCUCGGCAACGGAUAUCUCGGCUCUUGCAUCGAUGAAGAACGUAGCGAAAUGCGAUACUUGGUGUGAAUUGCAGAAUCCCGUGAACCAUCGAGUCUUUGAACGCAAGUUGCGCCCGAGGCCACUACGGCCGAGGGCACGUCUGUCUGGGCGUCGAAAGCAGAGGAACCUCACACCUCGCCCCCGCGUGGAGGUGUCGGUGGAGUAUGGCCUCCCGUGUCGUACGUCGUCUCGAUGCGGUUGGCUCAAAUGGGAAGCUCGGGGAAACGGAUGCCGUGGCAAUGGGUGGUCAGCGAGUUGUCGGAAAGGCACCGUCGGUCAUGUCACGUCUUGGUUUCCUCGAGCUUGGUUCGAUCCCGUU
Molecule: ribosomal RNA, 684 nt
Filed under: Drosera capensis
Lineage: Eukaryota; Viridiplantae; Streptophyta; Magnoliopsida; Caryophyllales; Droseraceae
Description: eukaryotic LSU rRNA
Rfam family: 5.8S ribosomal RNA (bases 323-479)
Source: RNAcentral